UGGAUCAGUGAUGAAAAUUGCCAGCAUAGCAGUCAACGCACGAUGAAUGGUACGCGUCUGGAGCUCUGAGGUCCAA
This is a small nucleolar RNA of Suricata suricatta (meerkat), 76 nucleotides long. The record is from Ensembl. Lineage: Eukaryota; Metazoa; Chordata; Mammalia; Carnivora; Herpestidae.